Molecule: ribosomal RNA, 540 nt
Filed under: uncultured bacterium
Lineage: Bacteria
Description: bacterial SSU rRNA
Rfam family: Bacterial small subunit ribosomal RNA
Source: RNAcentral
AAUAGAUACCCGGGUAGUCCACGCCGUAAACGAUGAAUGCUAGGUGUUAGGGGGUUUCGAUACCCUUGGUGCCGAAGUUAACACAUUAAGCAUUCCGCCUGGGGGAGUACGGCCGCAAGGCUGAAACUCAAAGGAAUUGACGGGGACCCGCACAAGCAGUGGAGUAUGUGGUUUAAUUCGAAGCAACGCGAUGAACCUUACCAGGUCUUGACAUCCCCCUGACCGGUACAGAGAUGUACCUUUCCUUCGGGACAGGGGAGACAGGUGGUGCAUGGUUGUCGUCAGCUCGUGUCGUGAGAUGUUGGGUUAAGUCCCGCAACGAGCGCAACCCUUGACUUUAGUUGCCAGCAGGUAAGGCUGGGCACUCUAGAGUGACUGCCGGUGACAAACCGGAGGAAGGUGGGGAUGACGUCAAAUCAUCAUGCCCCUUAUGACCUGGGCUACACACGUACUACAAUGGCCGGUACAACGGGAAGCGAAGGAGCGAUCUGGAGCGAAUCCUUUAAAGCCGGUCCAGUUCGGAUUGCAGGCUGCAACUCG